AUGAGCGCUGGCGGCGUGCCUAAUACCUGUACGUCGAGCGAACAGACGAGGAGCUUGCUCCUCUGACGUUAGCGGCGGACGGGUGAGUAACACGUGGAUAACCUACCUAUAAGACUGGGAUAACUUCGGGAAACCGGAGCUAAUACCGGAUAAUAUAUUGAACCGCAUGGUUCAAUAGUGAAAGACGGUUUUGCUGUCACUUAUAGAUGGAUCCGCGCCGCAUUAGCUAGUUGGUAAGGUAACGGCUUACCAAGGCAACGAUGCGUAGCCGACCUGAGAGGGUGAUCGGCCACACUGGAACUGAGACACGGUCCAGACUCCUACGGGAGGCAGCAGUAGGGAAUCUUCCGCAAUGGGCGAAAGCUUGACGGAGCAACGCCGCGUGAGUGAUGAAGGUCUUCGGAUCGUAAAACUCUGUUAUUAGGGAAGAACAAAUGUGUAAGUAACUAUGCACGUCUUGACGGUACCUAAUCAGAAAGCCACGGCUAACUACGUG
RNAcentral lists this ribosomal RNA (496 nucleotides) under uncultured bacterium. RNAcentral describes it as "partial 16S ribosomal RNA". It matches the Rfam family "Bacterial small subunit ribosomal RNA", at positions 29 to 507 of the family's 1533-position model. The record is from RNAcentral.